ACGCACAUACACACACAUGCACUCACACACAUAUACACACACUCCCAUAGACACAAACCUAAAGUUUAAUUGUUCUGUUUUCUUCCAGGUUUCCAAACUUUACCUGUCAUCACUGCCGUGUCUGUUGUUCUCGUGCUGCUUCUCAUUGCCCUUUUAUUUACUGUACUGAUACAGUGGAAAAAGAAGAACCAAGCCUCAUCUUCAGCCCAAUCGUUAAAAAGCUCCACAAACCCCCAUGUGGAUUCCAAACUUUACCUGUCAUCACUGCCGUGUCUGUUGUUCUCGUGCUGCUUCUCAUUGCCCUUUUAUUUACUGGACUGAUACAGUGGAAAAAGAAGAACCAAGCUUCCAGCACCAGUCUGUGACUACGAGGAGGUUAAAGACAGCAGAUCUCUUUCUAACACAAUUUACUGCACUGCUCUGUUAUCCACAAACCUCCC
Tachysurus fulvidraco (yellow catfish) is the source of this 440-nucleotide long non-coding RNA. RefSeq lists it as uncharacterized. Lineage: Eukaryota; Metazoa; Chordata; Actinopteri; Siluriformes; Bagridae. The transcript has 4 exons. The record is from RefSeq and is a predicted model, not a curated record.